CCUACGGGCGGCAGCAGUGAGGAAUAUUGGUCAAUGGACGAGAGUCUGAACCAGCCAAGUAGCGUGAAGGAUGACUGCCCUAUGGGUUGUAAACUUCUUUUAUAUGGGAAUAAAAUGUUCCACGUGUGGGAUUUUGUAUGUACCAUAUGAAUAAGGAUCGGCUAACUCCGUGCCAGCAGCCGCGGUAAUACGGAGGAUCCGAGCGUUAUCCGGAUUUAUUGGGUUUAAAGGGAGCGUAAGUGGAUUGUUAAGUCAGUUGUGAAAGUUUGCGGCUCAACCGUAAAAUUGCAGUUGAAACUGGCAGUCUUGAGUACAGUAGAGGUGGGCGGAAUUCGUGGUGUAGCGGUGAAAUGCUUAGAUAUCACGAAGAACUCCGAUUGCGAAGGCAGUUCACUGGACUGCAACUGACACUGAGGCUCGAAAGUGUGGGUAUCAAACAGGAUUAGAUACCCGGGUAGUC
RNAcentral lists this ribosomal RNA (460 nucleotides) under uncultured bacterium. RNAcentral's name for it is "partial 16S ribosomal RNA". It matches the Rfam family "Bacterial small subunit ribosomal RNA", at positions 338 to 795 of the family's 1533-position model. The record is from RNAcentral.